GUUUGUUCACAGGAGUAGGGGAUGUCCUGAUAUGUGUGUAAGGAAUGCAUUGUGUGAAUCUGUGUUUGUAUGUGUAAGGGCUGCAAUGUGUGUUUCUAUGUAUGUACGGGAUGCAGUGUGUGCGUCUGUAAGGGGUGCAUUGAGUGUGUGUAAGGAAUGCAUUGUGUGUUUCUGUGUGUGUAAGGGAUGCAUUGUGUGUAAGGGUUGAAUUGCUUGUGUGUGUGUGUGUGUGUGUGUGUAAUGCAUUGUGUGUUUUUCUGUGUGCAAGGGGUGCAUUGUGUGUGUGUG
Pelobates cultripes (western spadefoot toad) is the source of this 288-nucleotide non-coding RNA. Lineage: Eukaryota; Metazoa; Chordata; Amphibia; Anura; Pelobatidae. The record is from the annotation of a GenBank genome assembly.